CCUACGGGAGGGCAGCAGUGGGGAAUAUUGGACAAUGGGGGCAACCCUGAUCCAGCCAUGCCGCGUGUGUGAAGAAGGCCCUCGGGUUGUAAAGCACUUUCAGUGAGGAAGAACGCCUGGUGGUUAAUACCCAUCAGGAAAGACAUCACUCACAGAAGAAGCACCGGCUAACUCCGUGCCAGCAGCCGCGGUAAUACGGAGGGUGCGAGCGUUAAUCGGAAUUACUGGGCGUAAAGCGCGCGUAGGUGGCUUGAUAAGCCGGUUGUGAAAGCCCCGGGCUCAACCUGGGAACGGCAUCCGGAACUGUCAAGCUAGAGUGCAGGAGAGGAAGGUAGAAUUCCCGGUGUAGCGGUGAAAUGCGUAGAGAUCGGGAGGAAUACCAGUGGCGAAGGCGGCCUUCUGGACUGACACUGACACUGAGGUGCGAAAGCGUGGGUAGCAAACAGGAUUAGAUACCCUAGUAGUC
This 466-nucleotide ribosomal RNA is filed under the name Vreelandella stevensii. RNAcentral describes it as "partial 16S ribosomal RNA". It matches the Rfam family "Bacterial small subunit ribosomal RNA", at positions 338 to 795 of the family's 1533-position model. Lineage: Bacteria; Pseudomonadati; Pseudomonadota; Gammaproteobacteria; Oceanospirillales; Halomonadaceae. The record is from RNAcentral.